AGUGAACGCUGGCGGUAGGCCUAACACAUGCAAGUCGAACGGCAGCACAGUAAGAGCUUGCUCUUACGGGUGGCGAGUGGCGGACGGGUGAGGAAUACAUCGGAAUCUACUUUUUCGUGGGGGAUAACGUAGGGAAACUUACGCUAAUACCGCAUACGACCUACGGGUGAAAGCAGGGGAUCUUCGGACCUUGCGCGAUUGAAUGAGCCGAUGUCGGAUUAGCUAGUUGGCGGGGUAAAGGCCCACCAAGGCGACGAUCCGUAGCUGAUCUGAGAGGAUGAUCAGCCACACUGGAACUGAGACACGGUCCAGACUCCGACGGGAGGCAGCAGUGGGGAAUAUUGGACAAUGGGCGCAAGCCUGAUCCAGCCAUACCGCGUGGGUGAAGAAGGCCUUCGGGUUGUAAAGCCCUUUUGUUGGGAAAGAAAAGCAGCAGGUUAAUACCCCGCUAUUCUGACGGUACCCAAAGAAUAAGCACGGGCAAACUUCGG
Molecule: ribosomal RNA, 491 nt
Filed under: uncultured bacterium
Lineage: Bacteria
Description: partial 16S ribosomal RNA
Rfam family: Bacterial small subunit ribosomal RNA
Source: RNAcentral